UCCAACUUGAGAGUUUGAUCCUGGCUCAGAGCGAGCGCUGGCGGCAGGCUUAACACAUGCAAGUCGAGCGGGCGUAGCAAUACGUCAGCGGCAGACGGGUGAGUAACGCGUGGGAACGUACCUUUUGGUUCGGAACAACCCAGGGAAACUUGGGCUAAUACCGGAUAAGCCCUUACGGGGAAAGAUUUA
This 189-nucleotide ribosomal RNA is filed under the name Alphaproteobacteria bacterium. Its description in RNAcentral is "partial 16S ribosomal RNA". It matches the Rfam family "Bacterial small subunit ribosomal RNA", at positions 1 to 211 of the family's 1533-position model. The record is from RNAcentral. Lineage: Bacteria; Pseudomonadati; Pseudomonadota; Alphaproteobacteria.